This 60-nucleotide microRNA precursor is filed under the name Scyliorhinus torazame (cloudy catshark). Its description in RNAcentral is "Sto-Mir-12488_pre stem-loop". The record is from RNAcentral. Lineage: Eukaryota; Metazoa; Chordata; Chondrichthyes; Carcharhiniformes; Scyliorhinidae.
GUUUUUGCGACGCGAUGACGUUUUUCGACACAAGUUACAUCAUCACGACGCGAAUUACGU